Molecule: microRNA precursor, 87 nt
Organism: Nicotiana attenuata
Lineage: Eukaryota; Viridiplantae; Streptophyta; Magnoliopsida; Solanales; Solanaceae
Rfam family: MIR6152 microRNA precursor family
Source: Rfam
UGGACAGAUUAUUGUAUUCACCGCGUGAAAUAGGGGAUUACACUAUUUUUAAAACGGAAAGUGAAUCAAUUAACAUAAUAGACUCCU